UCUCCGUAGGUGAACCUGCGGAGGGAUCAUUACAGAGCUCAUGCCCUACCGGGUAGAUCUCCCACCCUAUGUUAUUAUUACUUUGUUGCUUUGGCGGGCCGUUAGGCUCCGGCCCGACUACCGGCCCCGGCUGGUAAGCGCCCGCCAGAGGACCCAAAACCCUGAAUAUUAGUGUCGUCUGAGUACUAUAUGAUAGUUAAAACUUUCAACAACGGAUCUCUUGGUUCUG
Molecule: unclassified non-coding RNA, 229 nt
Filed under: plant metagenome
Description: partial contains small subunit ribosomal RNA, internal transcribed spacer 1, and 5.8S ribosomal RNA
Source: RNAcentral